Molecule: non-coding RNA, 146 nt
Filed under: Nocardioides sp.
Lineage: Bacteria; Bacillati; Actinomycetota; Actinomycetes; Propionibacteriales; Nocardioidaceae
Also listed under: 1 other name
Source: RNAcentral
GCCGCCUGGUCUGCCCUAGGCUGAGGCCACCACGUCUCGUGGAACAGGAACCCGGUGCGACUCCGGGGCGGUUCCGCCACUGUGAGGCCGUUCGCUGACCCAGCGACCGGCCGAAGCCAGACACUGGCCACGAGACCUCCGACCAA